This 253-nucleotide ribosomal RNA is filed under the name uncultured bacterium. RNAcentral describes it as "partial 16S ribosomal RNA". It matches the Rfam family "Bacterial small subunit ribosomal RNA", at positions 524 to 776 of the family's 1533-position model. The record is from RNAcentral.
UACGAAGGUCCCAAGCGUUGUUCGGAAUCACUGGGCGUAAAGGGAGCGUAGGCUGCGUGGUAAGUCAGAUGUGAAAUCCCGGGGCUCAACCCCGGAACUGCAUCCGAUACUGCCAUGCUUGAGGGUUGGAGAGGUAGCUGGAAUUCUCGGUGUAGCAGUGAAAUGCGUGGAUAUCGAGAGGAACACUCGUGGCGAAGGCGAGCUACUGGACAACAUCUGACGCUGAGGCUCGAAGGCUAGGGGAGCAAAAGGG